CAGUCGCCACGGGAAUACGUAGGGUGCAAGCGUUAUCCGGAAUUAUUGGGCGUAAAGAGCUCGUAGGCGGUCUGUCGCGUCUGCUGUGAAAACUGGGGGCUCAACCCCCAGCCUGCAGUGGGUACGGGCAGACUAGAGUGCGGUAGGGGAGAUUGGAAUCCCUGGUGUAGCGGUGGAAUGCGCAGAUAUCAGGAGGAACACCGAUGGCGAAGGCAGAUCUCUGGGCCGUAACUGACGCUGAGGAGCGAGAGCAUGGGGAGCGAACAGGAUUAGAUACCCGCGUAGUCCCUGUCUCUUAUAC
This 301-nucleotide ribosomal RNA is filed under the name uncultured bacterium. Its description in RNAcentral is "partial 16S ribosomal RNA". It matches the Rfam family "Bacterial small subunit ribosomal RNA", at positions 509 to 807 of the family's 1533-position model. The record is from RNAcentral.